This is a small nuclear RNA of Hyaena hyaena (striped hyena), 107 nucleotides long. NCBI's taxonomy places the organism in Eukaryota, Metazoa, Chordata, Mammalia, Carnivora, Hyaenidae. The record is from RefSeq and is a predicted model, not a curated record.
GUGCUCACUUCGGCAGCAUAUAUACCAAAACUGGAACUAUGCAAAGAAGAUCAGCAUGGCCCCUGCGCAAGGAUGACAUGCAAAUCCAUGAAGCGUUCCAUAUUUAA